Molecule: transfer RNA, 74 nt
Filed under: Candidatus Kaiserbacteria bacterium CG10_big_fil_rev_8_21_14_0_10_49_17
Lineage: Bacteria; Candidatus Kaiseribacteriota
Description: tRNA-Ile
Rfam family: tRNA
About the family: Transfer RNA (tRNA) molecules are approximately 80 nucleotides in length.
Source: RNAcentral
GCGAGUGUAGCUCAGCUGGUUAGAGCACUUCACUGAUAAUGAAGAGGUCGUAGGUUCAAGUCCUACCACUCGCA